ACAGGAACCCUGGAGGUUAGAAAAUAACAUAACGCUGAAAAGAAAGUUGUGUGAAUAAGAAGAAGGGAGGAACGAGAGGAGGAGGACUUAAGAAGCGAUACAAAGCGUUACAGGUCAAAAGAAGAAGAAGAAGACUAAUAUAGUCUCCUUGGUCGGGAAUCGGGACCCUGCGACGGGCCGUCGCACCGACAAAGGCCCGUUCCCCCUUUUUAGGGGGAGAAUCCUAAAAGAAGAAGAAGAAGAAUCGGGACUCUAUCAAGGGACUCUACUACCCCCCGAACCAGGACCAAGACCAAGACCAUCAGCUGACCGGGUGCGAUCAGCUGCUCCUGUGUACCUGUGUCUUUAAGCUCUCUUGAAGUGUUCCAGCCGUGACGUGUGAAUGUGACAGCCAUGAUCAGGCUGGCUCUGACGUUCGGGGCGGGGAUGUACGCCGGCAUCUACAUCACCCAGAAUUAUGAUGUGCCGCGUGUGGACGAGCCCUCCAAGCUCUGGGAGAAGGUGAAGGAGUGGGCCGAGUCUCACAAGAAGAAGGACUAACAACGGCCAACUCUAGACUAAGGUCCUCCAUCCACACCACACAUCAUUCCUUUCCCUCCCACGUUGGUGUACAUAAUUGUCAGGUAGAGUUGUCAUGUCAAGCCGUGGGGAGUGUCACGUCUAAUUAUACAAAAGCUUAACGCUCAGCUUCUAGCAAUGGCUGGGUGACAGUGGAGGAUUGUGUACACAAAUAUCAUCAUUAGAGCACUGUGCCUUGCUACUAAGAAUGCACAGAGAGGUCACCUGUAUGCAAAUGUCCUCAAGGCAAUGUACUUCCUUGCAAAGAACUCACAGAUAAGGUUAUUCCACUCGUACGUAAAUAGAGCACUGUGAUUCCUUGCUAAGAAUGCACAGGUAGAUAGGUUACUGUGUUACUGUACCCGUAUGUCUUGAAGGCAAUAUAUUUCCUUGUUAAGAACUCAUAGAUGAGGUUAUUCCACCCAUACAUAACCAGGGUAGUGUGAUUCCUUGCUAAGAAUGCACAGAAAAACAGAUCAUCAUAUUCCUGUAAGCACAAAGAUUACUGACUACACAAGACAUGCAAUGUACAGUGCUUAUUGUGUUGUGGGUCUGUACACUGUUGAGUAAUGCUAUGUUGGGUCUAUGCAAUGCUCAGUAAUGUUAUCCUGGCGCUCUGCAGUGCUUAGUAAUGCUAAGAGAGGUCUGUACUAACCACUAUGGGGACUCCUGCAGUUGCCUCAUGAAGCUCUCAAUAAAUAUCAGUCAUUUAUAACAUUAAGGUUAAAAAAGGGUAUUAUUUGAUUGUAUUCUCCAUCCCUUGAGGCAACAGUAUUAAGAGUGUGUCUGAACAUAGCCACAGAAACCAGUGUGUUGGCAUGUGUUGAGGCAGUCAUGAGGAAGCUGUUGCCAUACAUUGAGUGCUGCUGUAGUGGCACUAUGAUGGAGUUUAGUUAUGUAACACUGCAAUGGGGUGUAGUAAUUUAAGUGAGGAUGAAGUCAGGAAGUUAAGAUAGAAUUCAAGUAUUAUUACAUCCAAACUGUGCACAGAAUCAGUUAUCAGCAUUUCAGAGUGUAACUUUGUCACUAGCAUAAAAAACAUAAUAUUGAUAAGGAAGUUAAUUAAGGCAGUGAUGCAAUAGUACAUACAAGCCGUGUAAUGUCAGUCACCAAUGUGUCAAACUGUUCUGAAUAUUUUUUGUUUGGUUUAAAAGUAAAGUGAGGGAAUGUAAGAGGAGGAGUAACAGGCUUCUUGUUGAUUCUUUAGGGAUAUUAUUGCAAGGAAUCAUUGCCUCCCUAGACCGUCAAGAUGUUCCGAAGAAUACUUGGAAGGUAUAAAUGUUAAGUUUUAAAAAUUUUACCAAAUGAAUUCACUUGUUACUGAUCACCUUUAAGUGUUGGUUAAAGUACUCUCUAUGGAAUGUGGGAGAUGACUUAAGUUAUGCAGAGAGGAGACUGAUUAUAACCACCAGCAUUUUAAUAUAAGUGGGAAAUGAUUACAAGUAUGUGGGGAGGAGGAAGAGUAAGAUCACUUGAGAUAAGAUACAGAUUAAUGGAGAUAACAAAUCAUUAUCAUCAGCAUUGUUAACAGAAGUGGUGGAUGAGGCAGAAAAAGGGAGAUGAUGAAGCUAAGGAUCACUGCCAUUGUAAUUAUGUGGGAGGUGAGACACAGAUUAAGGGACAAGACUAAAGUUAUGAGCACUAGCAUACUAUAUUUUCAUCAGCAUUAUUAAUAUAAGCACGAUGAGACAAAAUAAGGGAAAUGACUAGUUAUUUUCAUCAGCAUUGUUAUAUUAGUGAAGGCUGGAGACAUGCAUACGAUUAACUGAUUGUUUCUUCGAUGAUGAGGUUCACAUAUUUAUACUUUACCGAGGAUAAGACAUGAAAGCCUAUACAUAAACACUUAUUUUCACUACUUUUUGUUUCUUUUGGUGCAGGAGACAAGUCCGAUCUUUAGCAGCCUCUCUGUUCCGGCCCAGGAUCAUUAGGUCAUGCUGCAGUCGCCUUAGCCCUUCUUCGGUCCACCUCUCCCUACUUUACCCUGAGCCGCUCCCUCCUCACCCCACCAAGUGCUUAAAGCUAGGUUAGGUUAGGUUAAGUUAGUGCCAAGUGACUGAGGGAAUUCAGUGCCGUCAGUCCUUGUUCUAAUUUUAGUUUUCCCUUUUGUUAGAAGAGGAAGAAUGAUUACCUAAGCUACAAUCCUGCCUUGAUAGUAGGACUCAGUUAAAUCAAUGUCCUGUGAUAGGGAACUUUUGAAAAGACUUAGAACUUGAGAAUAAAACUAUGAUGCAU
Molecule: long non-coding RNA, 2790 nt
Organism: Eriocheir sinensis (Chinese mitten crab)
Lineage: Eukaryota; Metazoa; Arthropoda; Malacostraca; Decapoda; Varunidae
Exons: 5
Source: RefSeq, a predicted model, not a curated record